Molecule: non-coding RNA, 87 nt
Organism: Mycena belliarum
Lineage: Eukaryota; Fungi; Basidiomycota; Agaricomycetes; Agaricales; Mycenaceae
Source: the annotation of a GenBank genome assembly
GACCUGGUGGUAGAGGGACCACACCUGCCCUCUUUGUUGGAGGAUGUUUCAGAGCAGGAGUCCCCGGUUCGAUUCCGGGCUGGGUCA